AUAAUCAUUAACAAAACAAAACAAGAAACCCACCAAGAAAGCUCCAUUAUUCGCUCUCUGCCUUCCUCUUUCUUGUAGAAAUCUCGAGUUUCAAGCCAUGAAUCUGUCUGGAACCGCGGGUAUUACCAGAGCAACGUUGUUCUUCUUCUUCUUGUUGUUCUGUGUGUUUCUAGGUUCUUGCAUUUUUCUGUCCUAUACUAAUAACAGUGCCGCCAACUGGCCAGCCUGCUAUGUAUCGACCCUCUUGGUUGCGGGGCUCUUAUUGACGUCAACAUUGGUGGUUAUCGCCGCCCGUGCCACCGUGUUGGCAUGGAUCACAGUGCUAGUUCUGCUAGCCUUCGCCGGGAAGCGUCGAGGAGUGCUUGUUCAACAGGGGAGGAAAAUCACUACUGAUGUUGUUAUGUAUUUGUUUAAUGAUUGUGCUUGAAGAUGGCGUUACAGAAAUCACAUGAUUUCUUUGUAGAAUUUUAUUUUAUUAUU
Molecule: unclassified non-coding RNA, 480 nt
Filed under: Hevea brasiliensis (rubber tree)
Lineage: Eukaryota; Viridiplantae; Streptophyta; Magnoliopsida; Malpighiales; Euphorbiaceae
Source: RNAcentral